This 465-nucleotide ribosomal RNA is filed under the name Vreelandella stevensii. RNAcentral's name for it is "partial 16S ribosomal RNA". It matches the Rfam family "Bacterial small subunit ribosomal RNA", at positions 338 to 795 of the family's 1533-position model. The record is from RNAcentral. Lineage: Bacteria; Pseudomonadati; Pseudomonadota; Gammaproteobacteria; Oceanospirillales; Halomonadaceae.
CCUAUGGGGGGCUGCAGUGGGGAAUAUUGGACAAUGGGCGAAAGCCUGAUCCAGCCAUGCCGCGUGUGUGAAGAAGGCCUUCGGGUUGUAAAGCACUUUCAGUGGGGAAGAAAGCCUUGGGGCUAAUACCCUCGAGGAAGGACAUCACCCACAGAAGAAGCACCGGCUAACUCCGUGCCAGCAGCCGCGGUAAUACGGAGGGUGCGAGCGUUAAUCGGAAUUACUGGGCGUAAAGCGCGCGUAGGCGGUCUGAUAAGCCGGUUGUGAAAGCCCCGGGCUCAACCUGGGAACGGCAUCCGGAACUGUCAGGCUAGAGUGCAGGAGAGGAAGGUAGAAUUCCCGGUGUAGCGGUGAAAUGCGUAGAGAUCGGGAGGAAUACCAGUGGCGAAGGCGGCCUUCUGGACUGACACUGACGCUGAGGUGCGAAAGCGUGGGUAGCAAACAGGAUUAGAUACCCGAGUAGUC